RNAcentral lists this ribosomal RNA (681 nucleotides) under uncultured bacterium. RNAcentral's name for it is "bacterial SSU rRNA". It matches the Rfam family "Bacterial small subunit ribosomal RNA", at positions 69 to 746 of the family's 1533-position model. The record is from RNAcentral.
AUGAUUACCAGCUUGCUGGUAUGAUUAGUGGCGAACGGGUGAGUAAUGCUUAGGAAUCUGCCUAUUAGUGGGGGACAACAUUCCGAAAGGAAUGCUAAUACCGCAUACGUCCUACGGGAGAAAGCAGGGGAUCGCAAGACCUUGCGCUAAUAGAUGAGCCUAAGUCGGAUUAGCUAGUUGGUGAGGUAAAGGCUCACCAAGGCGACGAUCUGUAGCUGGUCUGAGAGGAUGAUCAGCCACACUGGGACUGAGACACGGCCCAGACUCCUACGGGAGGCAGCAGUGGGGAAUAUUGGACAAUGGGCGAAAGCCUGAUCCAGCCAUGCCGCGUGUGUGAAGAAGGCCUUUUGGUUGUAAAGCACUUUAAGUGGGGAGGAAAAGCUUGUGGUUAAUACCCAUAAGCCCUGACGUUACCCACAGAAUAAGCACCGGCUAACUCUGUGCCAGCAGCCGCGGUAAUACAGAGGGUGCAAGCGUUAAUCGGAAUUACUGGGCGUAAAGCGAGCGUAGGUGGCUGUUUAAGUCAGAUGUGAAAGCCCCGGGCUUAACCUGGGAACUGCAUCUGAUACUGGACAGCUAGAGUAGGUGAGAGGGGAGUAGAAUUCCAGGUGUAGCGGUGAAAUGCGUAGAGAUCUGGAGGAAUACCGAUGGCGAAGGCAGCUCCCUGGCAUAUACUGACAC